UACGGGGGGGGCAAGCGUUGUUCGGAAUUACUGGGCGUAAAGGGCGCGUAGGCGGCUCGCUAAGUCGGAUGUGAAAACUCUGGGCUCAACCCAGAGCCUGCAUUCGAAACUGACGAGCUCGAGUUCUGGAGGGGAAAGCGGAAUUCCUGGUGUAGCGGUGAAAUGCGUAGAUAUCAGGAGGAACACCGGUGGCGAAGGCGGCAUCCUGGACCGAGAUUGACGCUGAUGCGCGAAAGCCAGGGGAGCAAACGGG
Molecule: ribosomal RNA, 253 nt
Filed under: uncultured bacterium
Lineage: Bacteria
Description: partial 16S ribosomal RNA
Rfam family: Bacterial small subunit ribosomal RNA
Source: RNAcentral